RNAcentral lists this transfer RNA (82 nucleotides) under Thelephora terrestris. It matches the Rfam family "tRNA". Rfam says of the family: Transfer RNA (tRNA) molecules are approximately 80 nucleotides in length. Their secondary structure includes four short double-helical elements and three loops (D, anti-codon, and T loops). Lineage: Eukaryota; Fungi; Basidiomycota; Agaricomycetes; Thelephorales; Thelephoraceae. The record is from Rfam by way of RNAcentral.
GCCGUCGUGGCGCAAUGGUAGCGCGUCGCUUUCCUAUGAAUCACAUAGGCGAAGGUUGCGAGUUCGAUCCUCGUCGGCGGUA